AGAAUCAACGCUGGCGGCGUGCCUCAGACAUGCAAGUCGAACGCGAAAGUUCCCUUCGGGGGGCAAGUAGAGUGGCGCACGGGUGAGUAACACGUAGGUAAUCUACCUUUGGAUGGGGAAUAACAACCGGAAACGGUUGCUAAUACCGCAUAAUGCAGCGGCACCUAAUGGUGACAGUUGUUAAAGCGGGGGAUCGAAAGACCUCGCGUCUGAAGAGGAGCCUGCGGCGGAUUAGCUAGUUGGUAGGUAACGGCCUACCAAGGCUACGAUCCGUA
RNAcentral lists this ribosomal RNA (275 nucleotides) under uncultured soil bacterium. RNAcentral's name for it is "partial 16S ribosomal RNA". It matches the Rfam family "Bacterial small subunit ribosomal RNA", at positions 26 to 285 of the family's 1533-position model. The record is from RNAcentral.